GAAACUCGCCUACAUGAAGCUGGAGUUACUAGUAAUCGCAGAUCAGAAUGCUGCGGUGAAUGCGUUCCCGGGUCUUGUACACACCGCCCGUCACACCACGGAAGUUGGGGGCGCCCGAAGCCACUUAGCUAACCCUUUUGGGAAGCGAGUGUCGAAGGUGAAAUCAAUAACUGGGGUGAAGUCGUAACAAGGUAGC
RNAcentral lists this ribosomal RNA (196 nucleotides) under uncultured bacterium. Its description in RNAcentral is "partial 16S ribosomal RNA". It matches the Rfam family "Bacterial small subunit ribosomal RNA", at positions 1307 to 1500 of the family's 1533-position model. The record is from RNAcentral.